RNAcentral lists this ribosomal RNA (664 nucleotides) under Escherichia coli. Its description in RNAcentral is "partial 23S ribosomal RNA". It matches the Rfam family "Bacterial large subunit ribosomal RNA", at positions 576 to 1239 of the family's 2925-position model. The record is from RNAcentral. Lineage: Bacteria; Pseudomonadati; Pseudomonadota; Gammaproteobacteria; Enterobacterales; Enterobacteriaceae.
GGAGCACAGAGCAAUCUGUGUGACUGCGUACCUUUUGUAUAAUGGGUCAGCGACUUAUAUUCUGUAGCAAGGUUAACCGAAUAGGGGAGCCGAAGGGAAACCGAGUCUUAACUGGGCGUUAAGUUGCAGGGUAUAGACCCGAAACCCGGUGAUCUAGCCAUGGGCAGGUUGAAGGUUGGGUAACACUAACUGGAGGACCGAACCGACUAAUGUUGAAAAAUUAGCGGAUGACUUGUGGCUGGGGGUGAAAGGCCAAUCAAACCGGGAGAUAGCUGGUUCUCCCCGAAAGCUAUUUAGGUAGCGCCUCGUGAAUUCAUCUCCGGGGGUAGAGCACUGUUUCGGCAAGGGGGUCAUCCCGACUUACCAACCCGAUGCAAACUGCGAAUACCGGAGAAUGUUAUCACGGGAGACACACGGCGGGUGCUAACGUCCGUCGUGAAGAGGGAAACAACCCAGACCGCCAGCUAAGGUCCCAAAGUCAUGGUUAAGUGGGAAACGAUGUGGGAAGGCCCAGACAGCCAGGAUGUUGGCUUAGAAGCAGCCAUCAUUUAAAGAAAGCGUAAUAGCUCACUGGUCGAGUCGGCCUGCGCGGAAGAUGUAACGGGGCUAAACCAUGCACCGAAGCUGCGGCAGCGACACUGUGUGUUGUUGGGUAGGGGAGCGU